Molecule: ribosomal RNA, 460 nt
Filed under: uncultured organism
Description: partial 16S ribosomal RNA
Rfam family: Bacterial small subunit ribosomal RNA
Source: RNAcentral
ACGUACACUCCUGCGGGAGGCAGCAGUGGGGAAUAUUGCACAAUGGGCGCAAGCCUGAUGCAGCGACGCCGCGUGGGGGAUGAAGGCCUUCGGGUUGUAAACUCCUUUCGCUAGGGACGAAGCUUUUUUGUGACGGUACCUAGAUAAGAAGCACCGGCUAACUACGUGCCAGCAGCCGCGGUAAUACGUAGGGUGCGAGCGUUGUCCGGAAUUACUGGGCGUAAAGGGCUCGUAGGUGGUUUGUCGCGUCGUCUGUGAAAUUCUGGGGCUUAACUCCGGGCGUGCAGGCGAUACGGGCAUAACUUGAGUGCUGUAGGGGUAACUGGAAUUCCUGGUGUAGCGGUGAAAUGCGCAGAUAUCAGGAGGAACACCGAUGGCGAAGGCAGGUUACUGGGCAGUUACUGACGCUGAGGAGCGAAAGCAUGGGUAGCGAACAGGAUUAGAAACCCGGGUAGUCCCA